GACGAACGCUGGCGGCACGCUUAACACAUGCAAGUCGAACGAGAGAAGAGAAGCUUGCUUUUCUGAUCUAGUGGCGGACGGGUGAGUAACACGUGAGCAAUCUGCCUUUCAGAGGGGGAUACCGAUUGGAAACGAUCGUUAAUACCGCAUAACAUAAUUGAACCGCAUGAUUUGAUUAUCAAAGAUUUAUCGCUGAAAGAUGAGCUCGCGUCUGAUUAGCUAGUUGGUAAGGUAACGGCUUACCAAGGCGACGAUCAGUAGCCGGACUGAGAGGUUGAUCGGCCACAUUGGGACUGAGACACUGCCCAGACUCCUACGGGAGGCAGCAGUGGGGAAUAUUGCACAAUGGAGGAAACUCGGAUGCAGCGAUGCCGCGUGAGGGAAGAAGGUUUUAGGAUUGUAAACCUCUGUCUUCAGGGACGAAAAAAGACGGUACCUGAGGAGGAAGCUCCGGCUAACUACGUG
RNAcentral lists this ribosomal RNA (465 nucleotides) under uncultured bacterium. RNAcentral describes it as "partial 16S ribosomal RNA". It matches the Rfam family "Bacterial small subunit ribosomal RNA", at positions 28 to 507 of the family's 1533-position model. The record is from RNAcentral.